UACGUAGGGGGCAAGCGUUGCUCGGAAUUAUUGGGCGUAAAGCGCACGUAGGCGGCUUCUUAAGUCGGUGGUGAAAUCCUGGAGCUCAACUCCAGAACUGCAUUCGAUACUGGGAAGCUCGAGUCCGGGAGAGGUGAGUGGAACUGCGAGUGUAGAGGUGAAAUUCGUAGAUAUUCGCAAGAACACCAGUGGCGAAGGCGGCUCACUGGCCCGGUACUGACGCUGAGGUGCGAAAGCGUGGGGAGCAAACGGG
This 253-nucleotide ribosomal RNA is filed under the name uncultured bacterium. RNAcentral's name for it is "partial 16S ribosomal RNA". It matches the Rfam family "Bacterial small subunit ribosomal RNA", at positions 524 to 776 of the family's 1533-position model. The record is from RNAcentral.